GAGUUUGAUCGUGGCUCAGGACGAACGCUGGCGGCGUGCUUAACACAUGCAAGUCGAACGGAGCACCCUUGACUGAGGUUUCGGCCAAAUGAUAGGAAUGCUUAGUGGCGGACUGGUGAGUAACGCGUGAGGAACCUGCCUUCCAGAGGGGGACAACAGUUGGAAACGACUGCUAAUACCGCAUGAUAUAUUUGAGGGGCAUCCCUUGGAUAUCAAAGAUUAUAUCGCUGGAAGAUGGCCUCGCGUCUGAUUAGCUAGA
RNAcentral lists this ribosomal RNA (259 nucleotides) under uncultured bacterium. RNAcentral's name for it is "partial 16S ribosomal RNA". It matches the Rfam family "Bacterial small subunit ribosomal RNA", at positions 9 to 249 of the family's 1533-position model. The record is from RNAcentral.